Molecule: ribosomal RNA, 1374 nt
Filed under: human gut metagenome
Description: bacterial LSU rRNA
Rfam family: Bacterial large subunit ribosomal RNA
Source: RNAcentral
UUGGCUUAGAAGCAGCCAUACAUUUAAAGAGUGCGUAAUAGCUCACUAGUCGAGAGAACCUGCGCCGAAAAUAAUCGGGGCUAAAACACACCACCGAAGCUACGGAUUUCCUGCUUAAGGUAGGAAGUGGUAGAGGAGCAUACUGCAAGGACGAAGCCUGAUUGAGAGAGAAGGUGGACGAAGCAGUAGAGAGAAUGCCGGAAUGAGUAGCGAGAUAUAUGUGAGAACCAUAUAGGCCGAAUAUCUAAGGAUUCCUGAGUGAAGCUAAUCUGCUCAGGGUAAGUCGGGACCUAAGGCGAGGACGAGAGUCGUAGUCGAUGGACAACUGGUAGAGAUUCCAGUACUAUGUAUAAUCAGAACUGUGGGGACGCAGGAGGAUAGAUGGACCGCGGAAAGGGAAGACGCGGCCAAGUACAAAGUCAAGUUAGGUAGGCAAAUCCGCCAAAUGAUGAUGAAGUACGACGGGGACUGAAAGAAAGUAAGGAAGUCAUUGAAUCCACACUGCCGAGAAAAGCCGCUAUAGUGUUAUACAUACCCGUACCGUAAACCGACACAGGUAGAUGAGGAGAAAAUCCACAGGCCGACGGGAGAAGUGUUGUUAAGGAACUCGGCAAAAUGACCCCGUAACUUAGGGAGAAGGGGAGCCACGCAAGUGGCCGCAGAAAAGAGGCUCAAGCGACUGUUUAGCAAAAACACAGGUCUCUGCGAAACCGAAAGGUGAAGUAUAGGGGCUGACACCUGCCCGGUGCUGGAAGGUUAAAAGGAGAGGUUAGCCGCAAGGCGAAGCUUUGAAUUCAAGCCCCAGUAAACGGCGGCCGUAACUAUAACGGUCCUAAGGUAGCGAAAUUCCUUGUCAGGUAAGUUCUGACCCGCACGAAAGGUGUAACGAUUUGAGCACUGUCUCGACAACACGCCCGGUGAAAUUGAAGAACCAGUGAAGAUACUGGUUACCCGCAACAGGACGGAAAGACCCCAUGGAGCUUUACUGCAGCCUGAUACUGGGAUUCGAUGAUGUAUGUACAGGAUAGGAGGGAGACUGCGAAGGUAGGACGCCAGUCUUGCCGGAGUCGCCGGUGGGAUACCUCUCUUACAUCAUUGGAUUUCUAACCUGCAUCCGUGAACCGGAUGAGGGACAAUGUCAGGCGGGCAGUUUGACUGGGGCGGUCGCCUCCAAAAGAGUAACGGAGGCGCUCAAAGGUCUUCUCAGAAUGAUUGGAAACCAUUCAAAGAGUGUAAAGGCAAAAGAAGGCUUGACUGCGAGGUCGACGGACCGAGCAGGUACGAAAGUAGGACUUAGUGAUCCGGUGGUAAUACGUGGGAAUGCCAUCGCUCAACGGAUAAAAGCUACCCUGGGGAUAACAGGCUGAUCUCCCC